RNAcentral lists this ribosomal RNA (169 nucleotides) under uncultured bacterium. RNAcentral's name for it is "partial 16S ribosomal RNA". It matches the Rfam family "Bacterial small subunit ribosomal RNA", at positions 338 to 524 of the family's 1533-position model. The record is from RNAcentral.
CCUACGGGAGGCAGCAGUGGGGAAUAUUGGACAAUGGGCGAAAGCCUGCUCCAGCAAUGCCGCGUGAGUGAUGAAGGCCUUAGGGUUGUAAAGCUCUUUUACCCGGGAUGAUAAUGACAGUACCGGGAGAAUAAGCCCCGGCUAACUCCGUGCCAGCAGCCGCGGUAAU